RNAcentral lists this long non-coding RNA (1057 nucleotides) under Callithrix jacchus (white-tufted-ear marmoset). RNAcentral describes it as "lncRNA (ENSCJAG00000070760.1)". The record is from RNAcentral. Lineage: Eukaryota; Metazoa; Chordata; Mammalia; Primates; Cebidae.
UAGAAUAUUCAUAAAGAAGUAAUGAACUUUUGUUACUAUUUAAUGUCUUACUACAUAUCAGGUACUGCUGGGCACAAAAAAUACAUCAGUGAUCAAAAUAGGCUGCUUCCUGUAUGGAGUGUACAUUCUACUGUGGUGGAGAAAAACAACACAUAUUUAAAAAAUCACUCCCGUCAUUCCCAUGUGUUGUUGGAGGGACCCAAUGGGAGACAAUUGAAUCAUAUGAGAGGUAUUUCCCAUACUGUUCUCAUAGUAGUGAAUAAGUUUCAUGUGAUCUGAUGAUUUUAUAAGGAGUUUCCCCUUUCCCUUGACUCUCAGUUUUUUUUCUGUUGCCAUGUAAGAUAUGCCUUUCUCCUUCUGCCAUGAUUGUGAGGCCUCCCCAGCCACGUGGAACUGUGAGUCCAUUAAACCUCUUUUCCUUAUAAAUUACCCAGACUCAGAUAUGUUUUUAUCAGCAGUAUGAAAUGGACUAACAUAGGAUGAAAAUGGAAUUAUUGAUAUUUUUAUAUUCUUGGCUUUCUAAGGGUGUUGAUAGCCCCAUUGGGUAACUACAAAAAAAUGUACAAAAAAAAAGUCAAUUAAAAAUAGCAAAUUCCCAUCCAAAAGUAAAGAGAUAUAGAGAAGAUUUUGCUUUAUUUCAACAAUUAGUAUAACAAGGGCCUUGAACUUGCUAUUUUGCUAUACCUUCUUCUCUUUCUCAUCUAUCUUUGUAAAUAAGUUAAAAGUUGUGUGUCAGAGAGAUAUGUUGGUAUCCUAGGUUUUAGGGCAGAUGCUGAGAUUUAUCUCAGUGCGCAUACCAGUAGGUCAUUUAUAAGAUAAAGAUGAAGCUUUUCCUGUAGGUCAUUCUAUGUUUACACAUGUGUUGUGUGGGCAAGAGUAAGAAGUUAUAGGAAAAAAUUGUGUAGCAACAAAUAAUACACUACACUUGAAAAUGCUUGUUUUGCCUUAUUAACAAAGAUAAAUCUAUAAAAAAGAAUCAUUUGGCUGAUUUAGUUGGUUGGGGAAUUCAUUUUUUCCCAGAGAAGUUACAUUAGGAUUCCAUCCAGUUCCUUAUAAU